This 1459-nucleotide unclassified non-coding RNA is filed under the name Leishmania donovani. Its description in RNAcentral is "gene:LdHU3.02.0790(CDS-product:hypothetical_prote in_conserved)". The record is from RNAcentral. Lineage: Eukaryota; Euglenozoa; Kinetoplastea; Trypanosomatida; Trypanosomatidae.
GACAGACCAUCCGCGUGCCACGAGAGACGCCGCACACCAUCUUCGUACACACACGCACACACACACACACACACAUACACCUCCUCUUCCCCACCACAGCACACCUACGGGCGUGCCGCGUAGAACCGCGUGGCUACCAGUUCGUGGGGGGAUAUGACGAACACAGCUACCUCAAGCCCACCGAUGGAGACGCCGCCCUUGCCUGGCAAUGACAGCAACCUUGAGCCUAGCUCCGCGACCGCGGGCAACUCGCACGCACCCGCAAGCACGGCUGAGUCCUCCGAGGAGCUGAAGCGCUUGACGGCACUGGGCACGCUGCUGGUCAACAUGGGCGCCGCCUCCGAGGAGAAAAUCUUCGGAGUGAAGGACUCGGCUCCGAUGCUGGCGUACCGUCAGAAUCGCUUGCACGAGCUCCUCGUCAUCAACCGCCCGCAGGACGACGCAGCCGCGCACAUGUUCAUCUGGUACAAGCCGUGGACGUGGUGGAGUAGCGGUGCGCAGGUGUCGCCGAUCGUCGUCAAGAGGAUGCUGACGGAAGAGGGGAGCGCGGAUGCGCCAAGGACAACGGCGCCGCCCCAGACCCCUGGUAGUACACAGACGGAGGCAGAUGUAGUCGCGCCGCCACCGCCGCCGGACGCCGCGGAGCCGAAUGCAGCGCCGCCGAAGAGGAAGAAAGGGCUGCCUGCAGUGGACAUGCGCGCGCUGACGGACGAGGAAGUGGAUGCCCUCACCCCCGCUGUGCGCGACGAGCGUGCGAAGCUGCUGCUCUCGGAGAAGCACAUCCACGAGACGCUGCAGGGGAUGGAAGACACAAGAUACCGUUACCUGGUCCCUUCGCAUGACCUCAAGUGUGAGGCCGAGGUGAUGGACGUGGUGCGGUGCUACGCGGAGCGCAACCAAGCCAAGGCUGCCUCUCUCGCAGCAGAGGGCGGCCGCGCUCCGCCGGGAGCAGCUGCUACGUCGCACAACCGGCUAAGUGGCGGAGGGGAGAAGGCAGUGGUGCGGGCAGACUUGUUAGCAUGUGGGCCGCACGUGCAACGCCUUAAGACCUGCGCGGAGUCGAUGGUGAUGCAGUAUAGUCGAGAGGGCAAGGUAGCGUAGGGAAGGAAGUUGUGGCGGUGGUAGAGGGCAACAACCGCUCAUGCCGAGCUGAAAUCCACGCACACCGGCCACGACUCCGUCACCCACGCAAGUUCACACUAGAAUCGUUAGAGGGGACACACAAGGCACUAUGGGGGCCCACGUUCACGCGGGUGCGGCCGUGCUGCUGGGUGAUGUAGGAUGAGACGAAGACAAGUCGGCGCACACGUCUUCGCUUCGCGCCGACACAGCGUUCCACCUCUUUUCCGUUUCGUAUUUCCAUAUACACUUAGUCUGAGAGAGUCCCGUGUGCGCGCGCUUGGCGCAUGCCGGCUAACAUGAAGGGUUGGCGGGGGGCCGCUGCACCCCUCCAGACGAG